RNAcentral lists this ribosomal RNA (439 nucleotides) under Mesogonia evansi. RNAcentral describes it as "partial large subunit ribosomal RNA". The record is from RNAcentral. Lineage: Eukaryota; Metazoa; Arthropoda; Insecta; Hemiptera; Cicadellidae.
UCCUGCCCUAUGAUUAUUUAAAUGGCUGCAGUAUAUUGACUGUGCAAAGGUAGCAUAAUAAUUAGUCUUUUAAUUGAGGACUUGUAUGAAUGGAUUAAUGAGAAAUUCAUUUUAUUAAUUUUAAAUUUUUAAUUUAAUAUUCAAGUAAUAAAGCUUGACUUAUUUUUCGGGACGAUAAGACCCUAUAGAACUUUAAUUUAAUUUUAUUAGUUCAAUUUUAGAUUAUCACAUUUAAUUUAUAUUAGUUAAAUUUUUGUUGGGGUGACAGAUAAAUUUUUACUUUAUCUUUCCUACUCAUUUAUAUAUGUUUUUUUGAUCCUUUAUUUUUGAUUUUAAGAUUAAGUUACCUUAGGGAUAACAGCGUAAUUUUAAUGGGGAGUUCUUAUUUAUAUUAAAGUUUGCGACCUCGAUGUUGAAUUAAGAUUAUUCUAGGGGGUAG